This 829-nucleotide long non-coding RNA is filed under the name Sus scrofa (pig). Its description in RNAcentral is "lncRNA (ENSSSCG00030001977.1)". Lineage: Eukaryota; Metazoa; Chordata; Mammalia; Artiodactyla; Suidae. The record is from RNAcentral.
CGCUACUCGGGGAGGAAGUGAAGGCUGGAAGAGCGACUCAGCAGCAGCGGGCCGAGGAGCAGGCAGACGCACGUGGCAGACCGGGGCCGCGUGAGAAGCCCUGGGACUCGUGCCGUGCCGUCGGCUUGCCAAACCCAGUCCUGGCAGGGGUGGGGUUCCCACCGAGAGAGAGGCCCUCGAAGGCGCGGGCCCACCUAAUUAAUUUCAAGUGUUUGGGGAAAUCAGAGAAAAAUUGCUGAAGACAAAUCCCAGACCUCCCAUUGGACAACUGCUCCCCCUGCUCAUGGUCCCCUUAAGUCUAGUUCCCAUGCAAAUGCAGGCCUCCAGCCCCGCUCCUCGUGGGGAAGAGCAGGGGAGGGCGCUUGGUCCACCCUCCCUCCCUGCCCGAAGCGGCCCCUGGAGGAGGUCUCCCCGCUCCGGGCCUCAGACUGGAAGAGCACGGCGCCCCAGGCUGCCAUUGUCCCCGUCCCCGGGGGCAAACAAGCUUAGAGACGACCGAUCAGCUUCCUUGCAGAUGGAAUUAACCAACGUGGCUGGUGAAUUGCAAAGAUCGCCAGCGCUGGUGUGGGUUUUCACCAGGGACGUCUUCCGUAGGAGAAGGCGGCUCCAGAUUUCUCCCACCGUGGAGACUGGUGUAGGAAGGAGAAAGCACCGUCCGGAUGGAGCUGAAGGAAGCUGCAGUAAGGUCCUUUGUUAAAAUUGGAAAGCAGUCCUGGGAAGGACGGGGGAAGGACUCUGCCGUGGAAGAAACCGGCAGAGGAUCAAACACGAUGGGCGGAGAAAUGGAGCCCUCCAGUGAAGAGGUCCCCACGUCCCCAGGUACAGCACC